Molecule: ribosomal RNA, 426 nt
Filed under: uncultured prokaryote
Description: bacterial SSU rRNA
Rfam family: Bacterial small subunit ribosomal RNA
Source: RNAcentral
UGGGGAAUUUUCCGCAAUGGGCGAAAGCCUGACGGAGCAAUACCGCGUGAGGGAGGAAGGCUUUUGGGUUGUAAACCUCUUUUCUUAGGGAAGAAGAACUGACGGUACCUAAGGAAUCAGCAUCGGCUAACUCCGUGCCAGCAGCCGCGGUAAUACGUAGGGUCCGAGCGUUGUCCGGAGUUACUGGGCGUAAAGCGCGCGCAGGCGGUGGCGUGUGCCCGGCGUGAAAGCCCCCGGCUCAACCGGGGAAGGUCGUCGGAGACUGCGUCACUUGAGGGCGGUAGGGGCUGGUGGAAUGCCCGGUGUAGUGGUGAAAUGCGUAGAGAUCGGGCAGAACACCCGUGGCGAAGGCGGCCAGCUGGGCCGUUCCUGACGCUGAGGCGCGAAGGCGUGGGUAGCGAACGGGAUUAGAUACCCCCGUAGUCC